GGGGAUGGCCCCGCGGUGCAUUAGCUAGUUGGUCAAGGUAAAGGGCUUACCAAGGCGAUGAUGCAUAGCCCGAGUUGAGAGACUGAUCGGGCCACAUUGGGACUGAGACACGGGCCCAAACUCCUACGGGAGGCAGCAGUAGGGAAUCUUCCACAAUGGACGCAAGUCUGAUGGAGCAAACGCCGCGUGAGUGAAGAAGGUUUCGGAUCGUAAAAGCUCUGUUGUUGGUGAAGAAGGAUAGAGGUAGUAACUGGUCCCUUUAUUUGACGGUAAUCAACCAGAAAGUCACGGGCUAACUACGUGCCAGCAGCCGCGGUAAAU
This 321-nucleotide ribosomal RNA is filed under the name uncultured Lactobacillales bacterium. RNAcentral describes it as "bacterial SSU rRNA". It matches the Rfam family "Bacterial small subunit ribosomal RNA", at positions 221 to 525 of the family's 1533-position model. The record is from RNAcentral. Lineage: Bacteria; Bacillati; Bacillota; Bacilli; Lactobacillales.